UUAAAUCUGAACAUAUUUGAAUCUCAAAUUAUGUAUUGUUAUAACCUCUCAAUUUUUUAAAGACAUCUGCAUUUUAUUAAAUAAUACCUUAGGACAAAUGUAGUGAAUUUUACAAUAUCAAAUUUGAUUUAAUCACCCCACUGGUAUUUAUAACUUAUUUUGAAUAUUGUUACAAAUAAUUUGCUCAUAAUUUAUAUUUCAAAGCUCAAAGACUAUCAUGUCCCAGAGAAAGGUCAUUGUAGCUAUCUGAUUUAUUAGCUUUGCAUUGGAUCCCCAUUUUACAAUUCAUGUGGGGUGGCAAGGUUCAUGUAUAGUACAAAAUAAGCGAGUAGAGAAGAGAAACAUAGCAGCUGAGGUCAGGAGAGAUGUGGAGAGCAGGUUACCUAGGGUCUCUAAAGGCUUUAAAAUAAAAAUAGUUUUAUUCUGAGAUAGAAAUCUAUUGGAAAAAUUUCAACAGGUGAUUGAAUAUGUGAGGAACUUUGAUGUUGAUUUGUGCUUCUAAUACAGAAGAAAGAAAGCAUUCCACUGUGUAGAAUUUGCCACCACUAGUCCUGCCCCAACUUUUUUUUUUUUUUUUUUUUUUUUUUUGAGACUUCAGUAGGUUGUGAAGCAUUACAGAUUCAUUAGGGGACAAAUGACUAGUGGGAUGAAUCUGGUGUCUAGUAAGAGACUACCAGUUUGGCAGGAAGAUAACACCUUCUUUUGUCCUUGAGUGGAUUCAGUAAUAAGCAGCAAUGUGUACAAAUGAAGAAAAUAAGCUGAAUCAAUAUAUUUGGGGAUUUUUUUUUAAAAGUAAAUAUUGUUAAUUUGAUAAGAUAAUUUACAAAAUCAAUAACAAAUAUGUCUUGUCAGGUCAUUGUGAAACAACUUCAAAAACGAUUGGCUGAUCUCAAUAAACAGUGUGUGUCAGACCUCACUAGAACUUACACCACAUCAUCACAUUAAUCUCAAAGAUGAGAUAUAGGAUUUAAUGAAGAAAUGAUUUCAAGUCAAAAGUCAAAACUCAUGAGAGACAAGCAGAGACCAGUAAGAAACUUCUUUUGGAGAAACAACAGACCAGAUCUUUAUUCACAACUCAUGCUAGGAGGCCAGUCCCAGAAUUACCUUGUGUUGGAACUCUUACCAAUAGUUUGA
RNAcentral lists this long non-coding RNA (1134 nucleotides) under Macaca mulatta (Rhesus monkey). Its description in RNAcentral is "lncRNA (ENSMMUG00000049683.1)". The record is from RNAcentral. Lineage: Eukaryota; Metazoa; Chordata; Mammalia; Primates; Cercopithecidae.